CUCAGAGUGAACGCUGGCGGUAGGCCUAACACAUGCAAGUCGAACGGCAGCACAGUAAGAGCUUGCUCUUAUGGGUGGCGAGUGGCGGACGGGUGAGGAAUACAUCGGAAUCUACCUUUUCGUGGGGGAUAACGUAGGGAAACUUACGCUAAUACCGCAUACGACCUUCGGGUGAAAGCAGGGGACCUUCGGGCCUUGCGCGGAUAGAUGAGCCGAUGUCGGAUUAGCUAGUUGGCGGGGUAAAGGCCCACCAAGGCGACGAUCCGUAGCUGGUCUGAGAGGAUGAUCAGCCACACUGGAACUGAGACACGGUCCAGACUCCUACGGGAGGCAGCAGUGGGGAAUAUUGGACAAUGGGCGCAAGCCUGAUCCAGCCAUACCGCGUGGGUGAAGAAGGCCUUCGGGUUGUAAAGCCCUUUUGUUGGGAAAGAAAAGCAAUCGAUUAAUACCCGGUUGUUCUGACGGUACCCAAAGAAUAAGCACCGGCUAACUUCGUGCCAGCAGCCGCGGUAAUACGAAGGGUGCAAGCGUUACUCGGAAUUACUGGGCGUAAAGCGUGCGUAGGUGGUUGUUUAAGUCUGUUGUGAAAGCCCUGGGCUCAACCUGGGAAUUGCAGUGGAUACUGGGCAACUAGAGUGUGGU
This 642-nucleotide ribosomal RNA is filed under the name Stenotrophomonas sp. RNAcentral describes it as "bacterial SSU rRNA". It matches the Rfam family "Bacterial small subunit ribosomal RNA", at positions 23 to 652 of the family's 1533-position model. The record is from RNAcentral. Lineage: Bacteria; Pseudomonadati; Pseudomonadota; Gammaproteobacteria; Lysobacterales; Lysobacteraceae.